RNAcentral lists this ribosomal RNA (454 nucleotides) under uncultured Prevotella sp. RNAcentral's name for it is "partial 16S ribosomal RNA". It matches the Rfam family "Bacterial small subunit ribosomal RNA", at positions 341 to 792 of the family's 1533-position model. Lineage: Bacteria; Pseudomonadati; Bacteroidota; Bacteroidia; Bacteroidales; Prevotellaceae. The record is from RNAcentral.
ACGGGAGGCAGCAGUGAGGAAUAUUGGUCAAUGGACGAGAGUCUGAACCAGCCAAGUAGCGUGCAGGAUGACGGCCCUAUGGGUUGUAAACUGCUUUUGUACGGGAAUAAAGUGACCUACGUGUAGGUUUUUGCAUGUACCGUAAGAAUAAGGACCGGCUAAUUCCGUGCCAGCAGCCGCGGUAAUACGGAAGGUCCGGGCGUUAUCCGGAUUUAUUGGGUUUAAAGGGUGCGCAGGCGGGACAUUAAGUCGGCGGUGAAAUACCGUGGCCCAACCACGGGGCUGCCGUCGAUACUGAUGACCUAGAGUGCGUGUGACGUAGGCGGAAUGUGACGUGUAGCGGUGAAAUGCUUAGAUAUGUCACAGAACACCGAUUGCGAAGGCAGCCUACGAAUGCGUAACUGACGCUCAUGCACGAAAGCGCGGGUAGCGAACAGGAUUAGAUACCCUGGUA